GAUGAACGCUGGCGGCGUGCCUAACACAUGCAAGUCGAACGGAAAGGCCCUUGCUUGCAGGGGUACUCGAGUGGCGAACGGGUGAGUAACACGUGGGUGAUCUGCCCUGCACUUCGGGAUAAGCCUGGGAAACUGGGUCUAAUACCGGAUAGGACCAUCGUUUAGUGUCGGUGGUGGAAAGUUUUUUCGGUGUGGGAUGAGCUCGCGGCCUAUCAGCUUGUUGGUGGGGUAGUGGCCUACCAAGGCGUCGACGGGUAGCCGGCCUGAGAGGGUGUACGGCCACAUUGGGACUGAGAUACGGCCCAGACUCCUACGGGAGGCAGCAGUGGGGAAUAUUGCACAAUGGGCGCAAGCCUGAUGCAGCGACGCCGCGUGGGGGAUGACGGCCUUCGGGUUGUAAACUCCUUUCGUCAGGGACGAAGCGAAAGUGACGGUACCUGGAUAAGAAGCACCGGCUAACUACGUG
RNAcentral lists this ribosomal RNA (466 nucleotides) under uncultured bacterium. RNAcentral describes it as "partial 16S ribosomal RNA". It matches the Rfam family "Bacterial small subunit ribosomal RNA", at positions 28 to 507 of the family's 1533-position model. The record is from RNAcentral.